This 231-nucleotide long non-coding RNA is filed under the name Penaeus japonicus. RNAcentral's name for it is "uncharacterized LOC122245037". The record is from RNAcentral. Lineage: Eukaryota; Metazoa; Arthropoda; Malacostraca; Decapoda; Penaeidae.
CUGAAAUUCUUAUCAACAUGAAUACUAAGGUCUUCAUCCUCCUGGGUCUGGCAGCUUUUGCUGCUGCAGACAGCUUCGAAUCCUACGAAUACCGACCACCACAGAGACGCUAUUCCUCUGAGGAAUCCUUCGAAUCCGGAGAGGCCAAAUACGACUUCGACUGGGCUGUCAGGCACGAGGAUUCCGGCAACAACUUCGGACACCAGGAAGCCCGUGACGGCGAAGACACUC